RNA transcript from Onychostoma macrolepis, 3619 nucleotides. It is a transcript of the gene named potassium channel, subfamily K, member 2b, with no coding region annotated. The record is from RefSeq and is a predicted model, not a curated record. The transcript is spliced from 8 exons. Lineage: Eukaryota; Metazoa; Chordata; Actinopteri; Cypriniformes; Cyprinidae.
AUCCCGAUCACUCUCGCGCGUCUUGCGUCACUGAGUCUGUGAUCUAGAGGAGGCGCGAUUCAGUUCCCUCUGCUUUCACUCAUUCAACAAGCUGUGCAUUUUCUGAGAGGUUCUGGCAGGUUAACAGCAGAAAACAGCCCUAUCACUGGUCAGAAGAUAUGGAGUUGGGGAAAUUGAACCGAACCUCUGCAACCACACGGUAACGCGAGCGUCGAUGAGGAGAGGACUGAAGAAUGGCUGCUCCUGACCUCCUUGAUCCUAAAACAGCCACUCACAACUCCAAACCACGCCUGUCGUUCUCAGCUCAGCCUGUACUGCUGAAGUCUCCAGAUGACUUUGAGCCUCGUGUGACUGUUAUGCGCUGGAAAACAGUGCUGAGCGUCUUCCUGCUGGUGGUGCUGUACUUGAUUAUCGGAGCAACUGUGUUUAAAGAGCUGGAACAGCCUCAUGAGACAUCCCAGAAACUGGCCAUCCUGGUAGAAAAACUGGAAUUCCUUGAGCAGCAUCCAUGUGUCAACUCAUCAGACCUGGAAAACUUAGUGAAGCAAGUGGUGUCAGCGUUACGAGCAGGAGUGAACCCUUCAGGAAACUCAUCUAAUCAGAGCAGUUUAUGGGAUCUCAGCAACUCCUUCUUCUUCGCUGGAACAGUUAUUACAACCAUAGGAUUUGGGAAUAUCUCACCUCACACAGAGGGUGGACGCAUCUUCUGUAUUAUCUAUGCCCUGUUGGGAAUUCCUCUGUUUGGGUUCUUGCUGGCAGGAGUGGGAGAUCAGCUUGGAACAAUCUUCGGAAAGGCAAUUGCUAAAGUGGAGGGGAUGAUUGAUAAGUGGAAUGUGAGUCAAACCAAGAUCCGUGUGAUUUCUACCGUUCUUUUCAUUUUGUUUGGUUGUCUCCUUUUCGUCACCCUGCCGGCCAUCAUAUUCAAACACAUUGAGGGCUGGACUGCAUUGGAGUCCAUCUACUUUGUCGUCAUUACCUUGACAACCAUCGGCUUCGGAGAUUUUGUCGCAGGCGAGGGCGAGCGACGCCAGCACGAAGAGAACAGUGGUGGUUCUGAGUUGGAGUACCUGGACUACUACAAGCCCCUGGUGUGGUUCUGGAUCCUGAUUGGUUUAGCGUACUUCGCUGCUGUUCUCAGUAUGAUUGGAGACUGGUUUCGUGUCAUAUCCAAGAAAACAAAAGAGGAGGUUGGAGAAUUUCGAGCUCAUGCUGCUGAAUGGACUGCUAAUGUCUCCGCUGAGUUUAAAGAGACACGCCGGCGACUGAGUGUCGACAUUUAUGACAAAUUCCAGCGUGCUGCAUCAAUCAAGCGCAAACUGUCCGCUGAAAUAAACCUCAGCCCACCUGUCAAUCAGCAGAUGACACCAGGGAAACGUGCACGUUCAGUUAACCUUGGAGAUGAGAGAGAGGUGUAUCCCUACACGUUUGCACGAAACGGAAGCUUAUUCCUCAACGGUCUCAUACCGGAUUAUGCUGACUUUAGGGAUAUCACUAAAAUACAAACAAAAUGAACUGGAACUAAAGAUGUUCACUGAUAAACUGUGAAAAGAUAAGAUGCAUAAAAAAGAAUACAACAAAAGAAAAAAUAAGGGGGCAAAGAAAAGACAUUUUAUAUAAAAGAAAUAUGCCCUAACUUUUAAUGUGGACAAAAAUCAUUGUUUUCCAUUGACGGCCUUGCAUAAGUAGCCAUGUAUUCUAAUUAAUAAUUUUGUUAGCCACGUAUAACAAGUUAUUUGAAUUUAUAUGAUUACAGAUUAAUAUACUGUAGAUGUUUCACAAGCUUUCUGUGGCAAGGCUCUACAAGGCAUGACAGUCUUUUUGCUGCAAGAAUGGGCUAAUAUAGACAGCCUAGCAACUGCAGUUGAAAUGAAUGGGAAUGCUAACGGAGAGUUCUCUUGAGGUUGUGUCUAACACACUACAAGACUAUGUCUACAAAGCCUGACUUUUGGUUCUGCCAGCAUAAUGAAGUCACAACCAGAAGAGUCACAGUCAACAGUCCUUCCCAUUGAUUUCCUAUGAUCAAUCACCUUUGACCGCAAACAGCCAAUGUGUGCCUUUUUUAUGACCACUCAUCAAAUGAAGGCCAGGUUUUUUUUUUUCCAGAUUGUGUAUUUCUAAAAAGUAACCAAGUUCUGGACUUGAGGAAACAAAAAUUAAAUCAGUCAAAAAUGACUGAAAAGCUUUUUGUGCUAAAGCAGAGACUGAAUGUGUUGAUUUGUGACUUGAGGUCUGAAGUGGACUCGAAGGCAGCAAAAGAAUCUGAGCACAGGGUGCUCAAGUGUAGGGGGUCAUUGUGGAGGCAAUUAUAAAAGUAUUCUUCAUGUUAACAUACUGCUCCAAACAUAAUCAACAAAGCUUUUAACACUACAAGUAUUUGUGCAGUGCAGUGCAGCUUCAGUUGAACCAUUCCCAUUUUUGAUGUGCUGCAUGACUACUCCAGGCCCUUUUUCCUGCGUCCUUGCUAUUCGUUUAAGUCUCUACUCCAUUUCAAGUGAGAGCACUCUCAAUAGCUGUUUAUGCUUUUAAAAAUUCACAGUCUGUGGAUUCAUGGCACCUGGGAAACAUGCAUUUUAACAAUUCACAAAACAUUAAUCACCAUUGAGCCAUUUGAGAUUUUGGUAUGGAGACAAAGGUUAGGGUCGUGAUUUUUCUGUGGUAAUACAGCAUACCAUGGGUGUAUAUUAGGACCAUUUAUUGUUUGGUUAUGGGAUCUGAAGCAUCAUUUGGACCCAAAAUGAUAAUGCAUGGCAUCAGACUUAAGUGCAUAAGAUGCUCUUCGCAUGAAUGUUUGGUUCCAUGUGGAUUUAACCUUCUCUCUUUUUAACCUUCUAACAUUAUUCAGAUAAUCGUUUUGGUGUUCUCAAAUAGCCCUUACAAAAUCAGCUUUACUGUACAAAGCAAUUGAUUGCAUUGAAAAUUAAGUAGGAUACAAUUUUUUUUAUUGUUGCUGAUAUAUAUCCCUCAACUCAAGCUGAUCCAUGGCUAGUGGGCAGCUUCAACAUGUGCAGAUUAGAGAAGCUCAAACAUUGACCUUUUCCCAUGCAGACAGUGAAGUAGGAUAUGAGGAGAGUAAUUGGAUUUCAAUGGGAGAACAUACUCACCUUUUUGCUGAUGAAGAUGACGCUGCUCCUUAUGUUUUGUGUUUAAUUGGGAACAGGUGCCUUCAGUUCACAGUUAAUUUUUGUUUCCCAUGGCAACCCUGACAGGCUCACAGAAGGCUAUCCAGUAUUUAAUCAACUGAUUAUUAUGAGAGAACACAUUUGAAACAGUCACUUACAAUCAAAUGUUUUGUUUCAAGUGUAUCCUUUUAGCCAACAUAAACUACCAUUCAAAAGUGUGGGGUUGGUCAUUUUUGCUUUUGGUCACUUUUAGUGUCAGAUAUUUCUGCAGCCCUGGACUAAAAAUCACCUUCUGCAAUCCUGACAAAAACUGCUUAACCCACCUCAACCAAUCAGACCUGUAACCAGGAGAGCUGAGUAGAUUACUUUUGUAGUCUGUUACUGAUUUCAGAUUACAUGAUGAAAACUGUAGUCAGUAACAUCAUCUAGGUUACUCAUUUUUGGUAAUGUAUUCUGACUACUUUUUUAGAUGACUUUUUUCUCAAACUUGUUUUAAACUU